GACGAACGCUGGCGGCGUGCUUAACACAUGCAAGUCGAGCGGUAAGGCCCUUUCGGGGGUACACGAGCGGCGAACGGGUGAGUAACACGUGGGUGACCUGCCUUUAGCUCUGGGAUAAGCCUGGGAAACCGGGUCUAAUACCGGAUAUGACUCCGCGGCGCAUGUUGUGGGGUGGAAAGCCUUGUGCGGCUGGAGAUGGGCCCGCGGCCUAUCAGCUUGUUGGUGGGGUGAUGGCCUACCAAGGCGACGACGGGUAGCCGGCCUGGGAGGGCGACCGGCCACACUGGGACUGAGACACGGCCCAGACUCCUACGGGAGGCAGCAGUGGGAAUCUUGCGCAAUGGGCGAAAGCCUGACGCAGCGACGCCGCGUGAGGGAUGACGGCCU
Molecule: ribosomal RNA, 387 nt
Filed under: uncultured bacterium
Lineage: Bacteria
Description: bacterial SSU rRNA
Rfam family: Bacterial small subunit ribosomal RNA
Source: RNAcentral